GACGAACGCUGGCGGCGUGCUUAACACAUGCAAGUCGAACGGAAAGGCCCUGCUUUUGUGGGGUGCUCGAGUGGCGAACGGGUGAGUAACACGUGAGUAACCUGCCCUUGACUUUGGGAUAACUUCAGGAAACUGGGGCUAAUACCGGAUAGGAGCUCCUGCUGCAUGGUGGGGGUUGGAAAGUUUCGGCGGUUGGGGAUGGACUCGCGGCUUAUCAGCUUGUUGGUGGGGUAGUGGCUUACCAAGGCUUUGACGGGUAGCCGGCCUGAGAGGGUGACCGGCCACAUUGGGACUGGGAUACGGCCCAGAACCCUACGGGAGGCAGGAGGGGGGAAUAUUGAAAAAUGGGGGGAAGCGUGAUGCAGCAACGCCGGGUGGGGGAUGACGGCCUUGGGGUUGUAAACCGCUUUCGCCUGGGACGAAGGGGGGGUGACGGUAAUGGGGAAAGAAGCACCGGCGAACUACGG
Molecule: ribosomal RNA, 467 nt
Filed under: uncultured bacterium
Lineage: Bacteria
Description: partial 16S ribosomal RNA
Rfam family: Bacterial small subunit ribosomal RNA
Source: RNAcentral